AUGCAACCACAUUUUGUUUUCCUCGAAAGGGACGAUAACCAACGGACUCUUCAUCUAUUGAUGCACAUAACCAUAGACACAACCACAUACGAAAGUUCAUUCAUUUGUGGCAUGGCAUCAAUAAGAUGCAACCACACGAGAGUUUUAUUUGGUAGUACAACAAGUUACUUGGGAGAAGGUCUAGGCAUAGAUGAUAGAUUCAUCAGCAUCGAUCUAGUGAUCUUCGAUCCUGAAGUACUCCAGCACGUCCUCCCUGCUAGCAGCGGCGGUGUCGUACGCCGCCAUGAACUCCCUGAACACGAACUCCCUGAACUUGGCCGGGUUCUCCUCGCUCACCAUCUCCGGCGCCGGGCCGAUAAGGCAGUCCAUCUUGGGCAUGAUGAGCGUCGCCACGGACAUCCUGGCCACGGCGGAGUUGGUGAGGGCGCGGUGCUCCACGCUCGCCAGCACGCCGUUGGUGACGAUCUCCAUCUGGUGCCCGAAGUUGAUGAUGAAGGCGCCGGGCACCGGGCGGACGAGGAUCCACCGCCCGCGGUACCUGGCCUGGAGCCCGGCGACGUCGCCCUGGGAGAGCACGGUGAGGAGGUGGCGGUCGCAGUGCGGGAGCAGGCCCAGCGUGACGCUCGGGUCCGGGCACGGCGGGUAGUAGUUGACGUUCAUCUGCGUGUCCCCGCCGCUGAGGUCGCCCGCGAAGAAGCCGCCGUCGAGGCCCAGCCCCUCGGCGAUGAGCAGGAGCAGCGUCUGCGCCAGCUCGUGGACCUGUGCGGAGAACUCGGCGAGGGAGCUCCGGAAGCUCUCCGGCUUGGCCGGCCAGUGGCCGACGAGCUCGUCGGAGACCGGGUGGCACCGCAGCUUGAGGUAGUCACGCCAGUAGCGCGUCUGGUUGCGGUCGUAGGAGGUGCUGGAGGCGACGCGGAAGGGCUUGCUCUGGUCGUCGGAGCAGUAGGGCAGCUUUUCCUCCGCCGGCAUCGGCGGCGCGCUUCUCCGGCGGGAAGACGUACUUGUCCGGCACGGAGGCGUGCGCCGGGCGGUUGGACAGCAGCUCCAUACCUGACCCCGAUCGAUGGAUCAAUGCGGCUGGCUUAUCUCUUCUCAGCCCGGACGACACGGCCGUAUGGAUCCAUAUAUAGAUAUGAUAUCAAUCUAAGAUAUCUAAGAGCUUAG
This 1164-nucleotide ribosomal RNA is filed under the name Triticum aestivum (bread wheat). Its description in RNAcentral is "partial small subunit ribosomal RNA". The record is from RNAcentral. Lineage: Eukaryota; Viridiplantae; Streptophyta; Magnoliopsida; Poales; Poaceae.